Molecule: ribosomal RNA, 443 nt
Filed under: uncultured bacterium
Lineage: Bacteria
Description: bacterial SSU rRNA
Rfam family: Bacterial small subunit ribosomal RNA
Source: RNAcentral
ACUCCUACGGGAGGCAGCAGUAGGGAAUCUUCCACAAUGGGCGCAAGCCUGAUGGAGCAACACCGCGUGAGUGAAGAAGGGUUUCGGCUCCGUAAAGCUCUGUUGUUAAAGAAGAACACGUAUGAGAGUAACUGUUCAUACGUUGACGGUAUUUAACCAGAAAGUCACGGCUAACUACGUGCCAGCAGCCGCGGUAAUACGUAGGUGGCAAGCGUUAUCCGGAUUUAUUGGGCGUAAAGAGAGUGCAGGCGGUUUUCUAAGUCUGAUGUGAAAGCCUUCGGCUUAACCGGAGAAGUGCAUCGGAAACUGGAUAACUUGAGUGCAGAAGAGGGUAGUGGAACUCCAUGUGUAGCGGUGGAAUGCGUAGAUAUAUGGAAGAACACCAGUGGCGAAGGCGGCUACCUGGACUGAUACUGACACUGAGGUGCGAAAGCGUGGGGAGC